Molecule: long non-coding RNA, 939 nt
Organism: Anolis carolinensis (green anole)
Lineage: Eukaryota; Metazoa; Chordata; Lepidosauria; Squamata; Anolidae
Exons: 2
Source: RefSeq, a predicted model, not a curated record
CAAAAAAUGCAUUAUCCCCCAGCCUUGAGGCAAGGCGGGUGUCCAAUUGAGCUGGUUGAGGCCCUGAAAGCCAGGCCUUGCUGCUGCUAUUCGUUCCUGAGAGUGAGGCGGGGGAGGAAAGGCGGCCUUCUUCUCUGGCUUCUCCACAGAGGAGAGAAGGCCCGGUCCGCUCGGCCCAAGCAGGCCGCCUCGUCCGGGUUGUGCAGGCCUGGCAGCCCGAGGCCGGAGUAGGCCGAGCCGGGCGGAGGGAAGAGGGAGGGAGGGAGAGAGGGAGGCGGCGCCCUGAGAGGCGGCAGCAGCAGCAGCAGCGGCAGUGUCAAGUACGAAGCGCUGCGCUACGUGCCGAAUGACGCGGCCCGCCUGCCACGACUCGCGGCGUCACGGGAGAGCCGCGGAUGAGCCGCGCGAAGGCCCCGCCGCCUGGGCCUGCUCGGUAGUCGGGCUUAAAGGCUAGAAGAAAUAAAAGAAGAAGGAAAAAAGAACAAAAGAAAGACUUAAGUACACCGAAAUAUUUUGUAUAUUGCAUGCUUUUGCAGUGACAAAAAGAAAACUAAUGACAGAUAUUUCUAGAACUUGUCUAAUUUCUUCAUCUACUUUUUAAAAACCAAGCAUUUUUUACAAAUGUAUUUAAGAUGUCAAUAACUUUUAAUAUCAUGCUUUCAUUGGGCAUUUUGCUUUUGUUACUCCUUUCUAUUUCCAAAUAACUAGAUUUAAUUUCCCUUUGGCUGUACAAGAUAAUUUUCAUUUAAACUUUGACUGUAAGCCCUUCAAAGGUUUAUGAUGAAUAUUGCCAAACUUAGUCCAAGCUUUUUGUUUAUGAUACAAAGUCACACAUGUGUUAAAAUUAUUGUGUUUUCAAUGAUUCUACUGAGUUGAGUUUUACUUUGGGUUUUGUUGUUUUAUGCCAUAUUUAUUAAAUAAACACACCAAGUCAUUGUU